CAUUACAGUAGUCACCCAGGUUGCCGCAAGGCCUCCUGGGUAACCUACCACCCUUUGUUUAUUACACUUUGUUGCUUUGGCAAGCCUGCCCUCGGGCUGCUGGCUCCGGCCGGCGAGCGCUUGCCAGAGGACCUAAACUCUGUUUGUCUAUACUGUCUGAGUACUAUAUAAUAGUUAAAACUUUCAACAACGGAUCUCUUGGUUCUGGCAUCGAUGAAGAACGCAGCGAAAUGCGAUAAGUAAUGUGAAUUGCAGAAUUCAGUGAAUCAUCGAAUCUUUGAACGCACAUUGCGCCCCCUGGUAUUCCGGGGGGCAUGCCUGUCCGAGCGUCAUUACAACCCUCAAGCUCAGCUUGGUAUUGGGCCCCGCCGACCCGGCGGGCCCUAAAGUCAGUGGCGGUGCCGUCCGGCUCCGAGCGUAGUAAUUCUUCUCGCUCUGGAGGUCCGGUCGUGUGCUCGCCAGCAACCCCCAAUUUUUUUCAGGUUGACCUCGGAUCAGGUAGGGAUACCCGCUGAACUU
This 519-nucleotide ribosomal RNA is filed under the name uncultured fungus. RNAcentral describes it as "eukaryotic LSU rRNA". The stretch from base 179 to 332 matches the Rfam family "5.8S ribosomal RNA". Lineage: Eukaryota; Fungi. The record is from RNAcentral.